UGAGUAUGUUUAUUUAAUAGCUACAUGUAAUUUAUUGAACUGCUAUAUCCAAAGAUGCUGGUCACACAACCCACCACAGGGUCUCGGUGGUUUCCCCUUGCUGUUGUGUGACCUGCUGGAAUCUGCAGGUGACUGCGCUGCCCGCCAUCCCAAGCGGCUAUAGACUGUCCAACUACGGUUUCUACAGAGUAUCCUUGCUGUCACACUCUAAUAAAGUUGAAACAUCUUGGACAAUCUGUAUACGGAAGUAGUUGAAUUUGAGGAAGUUAAGUAGAAAAUGUCUGAUGUGGCUGCUGUGAGAAUAUUGUAAAAGAUUAGAAAUAGGGAAACAGAAGUAAGACUGGCAGGCAACACUGAAGGCCCUGCUCCUGAGGACUGGCGAGCAAGCAUUACCAUGGAAGAAAUCCUCACCGUUACGGCCUUUUCUCUGGCACCCCUCGGCGGGCAAGAUCAGAGAAAGAAAUGAUGGAGUCAGGUGGAGUCAAGAAGGCCUGUCAGGCAGGCAUUUUUCAGCACCUUUUCCUGCCUACACUCGGAACGUAAAAGCCAUUUCCAGUGCUGAGGACGGAAGGCACGAGGAUGCUGGCCCCGCGCUCAGUCCGAAGCGGACUUGCACAAGAGCCUGAACAGAAGGUUGCUGGCCUCUGAUCUGCAGAGCUGGAGCUUCAUAGAUACAUGUGCACAAAACAGUAGGCGAUAGUGCUGGACGGGUCUCACUUCCCUGACAAGCCUACGGAAAUUAAGGUAAUUUGUAGUAUACUGACUGGUUUUCUGAAAACCAAUUUACUUUUUGUUUUAUUGGUACAGGCCUGCAGUACAUAAUGAUCACAUUCAUUGUGGGGAGUUGAUACUUGAAUUAACACAGCCCAAUUAAUUUUUUAUUCCCCUCUCUCCUCCUUCUCCCUCCUCCCAUCUCUUGGACCCCUUCCCUUCUGCAAACUGUUUCCUAUUAUCUAUGAAAAUCAACUUAAGCAUAGGUAGCUUUUUUUUUUUUUUUCAUUACUGAGGAUUGAAUCGAGAGCCUCUUACAUGCUGGCUAAGUAUUCUAGCAUUAAGCUACAUGUCUAGUCUUUAAAAAAUAAAAAAAAAAAAAACUUUGAGGCAGGGUCUUGAUAAGUUGCCCAGGUUGGGCUUUAACUUGUGAUCCUCCUGUCUCAGCCUCCUGACUAGCUGAGAUUACAGCCACCAUGUCUGCCUUACCGUACAGGUAGUCUGCUCAAAUUAUGACUUAAUAAUAGAAAUACUGCCUGCUAUGCUAGCAGUUAAACAGCGCUUAUAAGGAUAAAGCCACAAAUAUUGUUCACAAUUCUCUUAGUUACUUUCUCAUUGCAGGGACAAAAUACCCAACACUCACCAGUUAGAAGAAAAAAAGUUCACAGUACUUCAUCUCACAGUUUGUAGCAGUUUUGUCCAUAGCCAGCUAGCUGCAAGGCAAGGCAGCAUGGCAGAGGGGCAUGACACAGA
RNAcentral lists this long non-coding RNA (1464 nucleotides) under Chinchilla lanigera (long-tailed chinchilla). RNAcentral describes it as "lncRNA (ENSCLAG00000027806.1)". The record is from RNAcentral. Lineage: Eukaryota; Metazoa; Chordata; Mammalia; Rodentia; Chinchillidae.